GUCUACGGCCAUGCCACCCUGAACAAGCCCGAUCCUGUCUGAUCUCAGAAGCUAAGCAGGGUCGGGCCUGGUUAGUACUUGGAUGGGAGACCACCUAGGAAGACCAGGUGCUGUAGGCA
RNAcentral lists this ribosomal RNA (119 nucleotides) under Pteropus alecto (black flying fox). The record is from RNAcentral. Lineage: Eukaryota; Metazoa; Chordata; Mammalia; Chiroptera; Pteropodidae.